This 465-nucleotide non-coding RNA is filed under the name Pongo abelii (Sumatran orangutan). Lineage: Eukaryota; Metazoa; Chordata; Mammalia; Primates; Hominidae. The record is from RNAcentral.
UGAGAUGGAGUCUUGCUCUGUCGCCCAGGCUGGAAUGCAAUGGCACAAUCUCGGCUCACUGCAACCUCUGACUCCCAGGUUCAAGCCAUUCUCCCUGCCUCAGCUUCCUGAGUAGCUGGGAUUACAGUCUGGGUGACAGAGAAAGAUCCUGUCUUAAAUAAAUAAAUAAAUAGUUGUAUCGCAUAUAUGGAGGAAAGAAAUGAUAAAGAAGAAAAAUUACAAGGUUACUAAUGAUUUCUUUUCAGCUAAGCUUUUGGUAAUGCUCAUCUUUUAAUGUUCUUUGGCAAACACAAAUCAACCAAGUUUUACAACUGUUAUUAAUACGCCUAAAGUAGUACAGCAAAACGUUUUUCAUAAAAAAAGAGCAUUAUAAAAUCCUUAAAUAUUUAGGAUACUUAUACACUUCAACUUCUCUAUUUAAGGGGUGGAGAAGAUAGAGAUUGAUGGAACAUGCCUAUUUUCUGA